CAGUAGUUACAUGCAUAUUUUGAAAUACUUUUGAGAAGUGUUUGAAUGUAGGUGUUCAAAAGCUGUGAUCAAAACCGAUAGAAAAGACAACAAAGCUUUAAGAAAGUUUUUAGCACACACUCAAGAGGCCCAAGAAAAGGAAGAAAUAAGAGAAACAAAGAGUGGCAUGUGAGAGAAAACUGAAAAAUUCACAUAUUGGAAAACUUUAUGAUCCAAUCUGAUGAAAAUACUCUGAGAAUAUCUCAAUUUAGAGCUUCUGAAAAUAUAAGAUCUUCUUUAAACAUAUUUUGAUUCCUGUUCCUUCCAAGUAUUUUGGCUUCAGAAGAUUUCUGUAGAGUUUAAAAAAUGCCAUUUCAUUCUCUGUGUCUGAGAGUUUCAAAAGUAUGUCCAGUUAUUCAAUAUGUCCAAAUGUAAACCCUGAGAUUAAAUAAAUUCAGAACAAUGAUGACUCA
RNAcentral lists this long non-coding RNA (452 nucleotides) under Cyanistes caeruleus (blue tit). RNAcentral describes it as "lncRNA (ENSCCEG00000022751.1)". Lineage: Eukaryota; Metazoa; Chordata; Aves; Passeriformes; Paridae. The record is from RNAcentral.